RNAcentral lists this ribosomal RNA (267 nucleotides) under Escherichia fergusonii. Its description in RNAcentral is "partial 16S ribosomal RNA". It matches the Rfam family "Bacterial small subunit ribosomal RNA", at positions 1 to 264 of the family's 1533-position model. The record is from RNAcentral. Lineage: Bacteria; Pseudomonadati; Pseudomonadota; Gammaproteobacteria; Enterobacterales; Enterobacteriaceae.
AAAUUGAAGAGUUUGAUCAUGGCUCAGAUUGAACGCUGGCGGCAGGCCUAACACAUGCAAGUCGAACGGUAACAGGAAUCAGCUUGCUGAUUUGCUGACGAGUGGCGGACGGGUGAGUAAUGUCUGGGAAACUGCCUGAUGGAGGGGGAUAACUACUGGAAACGGUAGCUAAUACCGCAUAACGUCGCAAGACCAAAGAGGGGGACCUUCGGGCCUCUUGCCAUCGGAUGUGCCCAGAUGGGAUUAGCUAGUAGGUGGGGUAACGGC